UACGGGGGGGGCAAGCGUUGUUCGGAAUUACUGGGCGUAAAGGGCUCGUAGGUGGCCAACUACGUCAUACGUGAAAUCCCUCGGCUUAACCGGGGAACUGCGUCUGAUACUGGAUGGCUUGAGGUUGGGAGAGGGAUGCGGAAUUCCAGGUGUAGCGGUGAAAUGCGUAGAUAUCUGGAGGAACACCGGUGGCGAAGGCGGCAUCCUGGACCAAGUCUGACACUGAGGAGCGAAAGCCAGGGGAGCAAACGGG
This 253-nucleotide ribosomal RNA is filed under the name uncultured bacterium. RNAcentral describes it as "partial 16S ribosomal RNA". It matches the Rfam family "Bacterial small subunit ribosomal RNA", at positions 524 to 776 of the family's 1533-position model. The record is from RNAcentral.